CCCAAGCUGGUUCUAUCUGCACAGGGACGUGGGGGUCAAGCUCAUCUGGGUGGCUGCCAUUGGGGACUGGCUCAACCUGGUCCUGAAGUGGGUUCUAUUUGGAGAGAGACACUAUUUGUGGGUCCAGGAUACCCACUUCUAUGGGACAGACACAGCCCCUGCUUAAAACAAUUCCACAUCACCUGUGAAACUGGACCAGGUCGGCAAUGCCAUAGAUAGACCGAUGUGUGCCAGAGUAUAGCAAUACAUAUCACUCAACAUACCUCAAGAAUAUAGUAGUAUUGGGAAGUGGAAGCAAAAUUGUCUUAGUAUGUAAUAAAUGAAUGAUCAUAGGGCCAUAACAACCUUUGCACUUUAGUAUUGAUUCCCAUUCAGCAGGGUAAAUACAUAGAGAAUAAUCUUAUCUGGAAAAUGAAUUCAGUUGGAAGUGUACAGUGAAUUCCAGUGGAGGCUGGUGACUUGGAAAAUUGAGGAGGAUGGGAGACCCACGUAGAUGUCAAAGUGUGUUUCAAAAAUCGUCAAGAGUAAUAAUUUUCACUUAAAGCAUUUAACAAAGACAUUUAUAGUACAAUAUAGGGAAUGGGAACGAGAGGGCUACUUACACAGUGUUUGGAAGGGAUCACAGCAGUGAUUGAAUGAGGGUAUGAGGUAUGAGUUAAGGUGUUCGGAGGCUUGACUUCAGUGCAGGACAGGAUUUGUCUAGGAAGACAAAAAACAAUAACACAACACACUACACAGUUAGACAAAAGAAGAAUGAGUAGUGUCCAAGCAAGGACUAAAAUCAUUGUUGUGUAAUAAUGUGAUUGUGUAUGUGAUUGACUCUAAAUACAGUAAUGAGAGAAAAUUGAUAGGGGUACGCACUGUGCUUGAAGAGGAAACAUUCAAUGUGCCAGUGGAUGAGCGGGCACAUGAGACAUGGCUUCAGUUCAUGUCAGGAGAGAGUUGACAAUGGUAGUAGAGUGGACUGGUCAUCACCUCUUAAUCAGGGAACAGGAGGGGACUUAGCUUGAAAGACAAAUAGCAGAUACAUUCCAUUACAGCUGCGCCAUCGAAGGUUUGAACAAGUUUCUCCCUGAAGUUAAACAUAGAGUUCACAUCUUGCCCACUUGACACAUCAAAGUAGCCCAAGAAACGUUCCUGAAUAAAGCCCUGAUCAUCCACAUACCUGACGAUAACUGACAACUGCAAGCAGACUGGUGGCACCAUAGGUCCCAGAGCGGGGAAAAUUGUUACACCCUGGGGCCUGGAGUUUUUCCUUAUCUGUUAACCUAACCAGGAAAACGCUGGACCCUAUAAGGUGGGGCUGUGGAUGCUGCUGUGUACAGUGGAGCUGCUGGUGUGCAUGUCCAGAGUCUACAUGGCUUUCCACUUUCCCCACCACGUCAU
Oncorhynchus masou masou (cherry salmon) is the source of this 1386-nucleotide long non-coding RNA. RefSeq lists it as uncharacterized. The record is from RefSeq and is a predicted model, not a curated record. NCBI's taxonomy places the organism in Eukaryota, Metazoa, Chordata, Actinopteri, Salmoniformes, Salmonidae. The transcript is spliced from 3 exons.